Molecule: long non-coding RNA, 751 nt
Filed under: Mytilus galloprovincialis (Mediterranean mussel)
Lineage: Eukaryota; Metazoa; Mollusca; Bivalvia; Mytilida; Mytilidae
Source: RNAcentral
AGACUUUGUAUAAAUUUUGUUUAUCUUAAUGUCAGGAAAGUCAGGCAGUAUGUUGAAACCAUAUCAACGUUAUACCAAACCAGGCUUUACUUGGUAAACUAACAGUUUAAGGCCUGCAUCAACAUCAUGAGAUUGACUUGUUGACAUCGUAGAUCAUCGUACUUUAAUAAAGUUGAGAAAAGAUUCAUUUCGUGCAUAUUGUUACCGGCCGCUGAGUUUUUGAAAUGAACAACUUAUCUGUUUGGUCAUAUCGAUUUUCUUUCAUAAUUUUCCUUUCAUUCAUUAAUACAGUUAUCGUUAUGUGUUUUGUUUCUUUUUUUGUCAAAAGGGGGGGGGGGCUUGCUCUUUUAAUUUUAUCAAAGGCAUGCGUAAUUUUUAGGACUUAUGGUUCUCAAUUUCUGAUUUGCAGUGAAGGUUCAACCUCUUCAUGACUUUACAUAUUUCAAAUCUGCAGUUCCUUAGGAAAAUGAUUAUUUAUGAUUACUAUAUUAGUAUUACAUAUAUAUAUAGUAAUAUACAUGUAUCUAUGCUUAGGGGGAAAAGGGGGCGACCAUUUGCUAUUCUAGGUGGUGGGAAUUCGAAGAGAAUCCUGGUGUGUUUGUACUAGUAUUUGUCUGUCCUAGGUGCUUUACCUUUAUAUCCAUUCAACAGUAGGCCUAGAUAUGUUCAUCUUUUUUUUUGUUAUUUUGUUUAAUGUAAAUUAUUUGAAUGAAGUAUGUAAAAGUUUGUUGCCAACUUUUUUUGAUAAACC